CCCUUAGAUGUUCUGGGCUGCACGCGCGCUACACUGAUGCUUUCAUCGAGUAUAUAACCUUACCAGACAUGGUUGGGUAAUCUUUUGAAACAGCAUCGUGAUGGGGAUAGAUUAUUGUAAUUAUUAGUCUUCAACGAGGAAUUCCUAGUAAGCGCGAAUCAUCAGUUCGUGCUGAUUACGUCCCUGCCCUUUGUACACACCGCCCGUCGCUACUACCGAUUGAACGGUUUAGUGAGGGCCUCGGAUUGGUCUCGGCCCGCUCUUUACCGGGCGGCGCCGUUGGUCGAGAAGACGCUCGAACUUGAUCGUUUAGAGGAAGUAAAAGUCGUAACA
This 333-nucleotide ribosomal RNA is filed under the name uncultured eukaryote. RNAcentral's name for it is "partial 18S ribosomal RNA". It matches the Rfam family "Eukaryotic small subunit ribosomal RNA", at positions 1470 to 1796 of the family's 1831-position model. The record is from RNAcentral.